Long non-coding RNA from Numida meleagris (helmeted guineafowl), 481 nucleotides. RefSeq lists it as uncharacterized. The transcript has 3 exons. The record is from RefSeq and is a predicted model, not a curated record. NCBI's taxonomy places the organism in Eukaryota, Metazoa, Chordata, Aves, Galliformes, Numididae.
CUCUCUUUUUAACUACUAUAGUCCUAUACUACUACAUAGUAAUGAAGUUAUUUUUACAAUGUAACCAGGAUUUUUUCAGCAUUAAUGUUGUUAAGUGUAACUGGUAUUUUUUUUCCUUCAAUUUUCCAUUAUAAGACAACUUUUUCAGUUCUAACAGUUUUCACUGCUAUCUUCCACAACUUUUCAGGUCUUCAGGAUGGCUCCUGAGUGUUUUAUGCUGACAUUACUUCAUUCUAGAAGCACAGAAAAAAAUAUGGCUUUAUUCUUAUAUGAUACCUCUUGAGAUGCCACUAUGAAGUAGACACACCCUGGACAGAAUGAAGUUUGACAAAGAUCAGAUCAGGAAUCACAAUGAGACUCCAAGGCUUUACCAAACUGAAGGCAAAACUGAGUUAUUUAUUUAGAGAUAAACUAGAAAAAAUCUUUAUCAAUUAUACAUGGACAUGUUUGUACAUUCCUGACUGGCCCGGGGAACAUUAAA